UGGGGAAUAUUGGACAAUGGGCGAAAGCCUGACGCAGCGACGCCGCGUGUGGGAUGAAGGUCUUCGGAUUGUAAACCACUGUCGGGAGGGACGAAGCUCUGACGGUACCUCCAAAGGAAGCACCGGCUAACUCUGUGCCAGCAGCCGCGGUAAUACAGAGGGUGCGAGCGUUGUCCGGAAUCACUGGGCGUAAAGGGCGCGUAGGCGGCCUGGUAAGUAGGGGGUGAAAUCUCAUGGCUCAACUGUGAGGCUGCCUUCUAGACUGCUGGGCUUGAGCACGGUAGAGGCUGGUGGAAUUCCCGGUGUAGCGGUGGAAUGCGUAGAGAUCGGGAGGAACAUCGGUGGCGAAGGCGGCCAGCUGGGCCGUUGCUGACGCUGAGGCGCGAAAGCGUGGGGAGCAAACAGGAUUAGAUACCCCCGUAGUCCCUGAGCGGGCUGGCAAGGCGCAU
Molecule: ribosomal RNA, 449 nt
Filed under: uncultured bacterium
Lineage: Bacteria
Description: bacterial SSU rRNA
Rfam family: Bacterial small subunit ribosomal RNA
Source: RNAcentral